GACGAACGCUGGCGGCGUGCUUAACACAUGCAAGUCGAACGGAAAGGCCCUGCUUUUGUGGGGUGCUCGAGUGGCGAACGGGUGAGUAACACGUGAGUAACCUGCCCUUGACUUUGGGAUAACUUCAGGAAACUGGGGCUAAUACCGGAUAGGAGAUCCGGCUGCAUGGUGGGGGUUGGAAAGUUUCGGCGGUUGGGGAUGGAAUCGCGGCUUAUCAGCUUGUUGGUGGGGUAGUGGCUUACCAAGGCUUUGACGGGUAGCCGGACUGAGAGGGUGACCGGCCACAUUGGGACUGAGAUACGGCCCAGACUCCUACGGGAGGCAGCAGUGGGGAAUAUUGCACAAUGGGCGGAAGCCUGAUGCAGCAACGCCGCGUGCGGGAUGACGGCCUUCGGGUUGUAAACCGCGUGCGCCUGUGACGAAGCGUGAGUGACGGUAAUGGGUAAAGAAGCACCGGCUAACUACGUG
This 468-nucleotide ribosomal RNA is filed under the name uncultured bacterium. Its description in RNAcentral is "partial 16S ribosomal RNA". It matches the Rfam family "Bacterial small subunit ribosomal RNA", at positions 28 to 507 of the family's 1533-position model. The record is from RNAcentral.